AGUCUUAAUAUCGCGAGGGCCAAUUCACAUCUACUUUAGCAAAAAUAUUAAUUAGAUAACUGUACAUACAUCAGGUUGUCACAAAAGUGCAUUUAAAAACAGCAGUGUGCACAAUUUGUUACUUUCAAAUGACCUUCAGUAAAAAAAUACAAAUAAAAUCCAACUAUGUUGACCUUAAAGAAAAUCUUGGAUCAUAAAUAUGUAUUUGAACGAUCCCAUUAUCAUAAGAGGUGUAAUCAUACAAUAGAACAUAAUGGUUUUGGUAUCAGUAUAAUGACAUUAACAGUAAAUUGUGCACUUCUGUAUAAACGUCUCCCCGAAUAGGGAACACAGAAUGUAAUGCUGACAAUGAUCAACUGUUAUAAAGGUUGAAGAAAAGUACAGUAGUUGUACAGUAAGGCUGAGGGUUUAAAGGGAUAGUUUAGGAUUUUACACAACUUAUUGUUAGGCUCCUCACUCUGUCAAGGCUUUGGGCCAGGAGAAACAGUAAUGCAUUGUUCUGUUCCCUUUAAACAGCCACUUCAAAACGUCACAUAGCUGACGCCCAAUAGAAGUGAAUGGGACAUUGCAUUUAGAAAGCAAUUUCAAAAAGAUUCCACCAGAGCAGACCAGCAAAAAACAUGCCCCUGAGUUUGAUUUGAUUGAUUAGAAAUGCUUAUCACAAGCCCACAGACAGGGCAAAAACAUAGUGCCUAGCCAACCUUCAUAGUUCUGCUGUCCGUUGACGUGUUUUUUUUUUUUUUUAAAGAGAGAUAGCAGAGUUUUCCAUCGUAUUCCCCAUGUUAGGCGGCAGGGUAGAGGUUAGAGCGUUGGGCUAGUGACCGGAAGGUUGCAAGUUCAAACCCCCGAGCUGACAAGGUACAAAUCUGUCGUUCUGCUCCUGAAUAGGCAGUUAACCCACUGUUCCUAGGCCGUCAUUGAAAAUAAGAAUUUGUUCUUAACUGACUUUCCUGGAUAAAUAAAGGUUUGAAAAAAAAAAAAAGGCUAGCUUCCUCUCUGUAGGUCUUUGUUGACAAAUAUUUACGGUGUGAUUUUUUGAUAACACUUUACAUUACAGUGCUCUUAUUACUGUGUAAUUAGUCCUGUAAGAACAAUUUAAGUCUUGCAAUCACUCAUUACAAUCAUUACAUUGUACCUAGGGUAGGUUACUGCUGUAAGUUAGUGUAAGUACAAUGUAACAAUGAGUAAUUACAAUACUUGUUCAUCUGCACGUACAGGUAUAAUUACACAGUAAUAAGGGCACUGUAGUGUAAAGUGUUACAGAUUUUUCAAAAUGGUGGAACUAAAUACAUAAAAUGCUUUUAUUCUAAAUGGUCAAACUAUUUGUCUCAUAUAUUCAUUAUUUGAUUUUCAUAGACAAUACUCACUUUUGAUGAUGAGAGUCAUCAUGGUCCUCAUCAUGCGUUGUAACAGGAACAGCCUCCCAGUCUUCACUUACAGAAAACUUAAACAUGAAAUUAAAGUGUUGGGGGUGUGGUGGAGCAUAAUAACCAUUUCCUAAAAUGUUUACCCCCUGACAUAUUAGUCAAUCAGAAACGCACAUUAAGAAUGUAUUUCGCAGAACAGCGACUAGAUUUACUGAUCCUUCGCAUGUUUUGACUAAAAUGUAAAUGAUCAACUUUCACUGUCAGUUUACUUGCAAAAAUCUCAUGAAUUUGAUGAAGAACAUUGUGUUUUAUUCCACAGUGUUUGUUAACAGCAAUGUAUUUGUUCCAUGACCUCUGCACUGCAUGGAGCUGUUCAUUUCCAGUAUUUAUUCAAUAGAACUGUGCUAUUGGCUGUUCUAUGAGCAAAUACAAAAAGUUAAAUGGAGGAAUCUUGAAAACAUGAGAGCAGUUUUUUUUUUUAACAUUCUGAUACAGUUCAAACCAUGGCUUGAUGGGCUCUUGGUGGCUCUCUUUGUUUCCUGUACCGGUGGUAGGUGGACUUGUUAACCACAGAAAAAAAGAAAUGUGUUGAUGCAUUCACAUCCUAUGCAGUUCUUUCAGGAACUGCCAAGAAACGAUGAAAAAGAGAACAGCUCUAACAAUUCUAUGUUGUCAAAAUGAGAUUCUAGUGAAACCAGGGGACACAUCGGCUGUGACAUUACCCUGGACGAGAUCAUGUGGUUUUCGAGUCAGUGUAUUACACAGGCCUGUUCAGAAGCAAUCUGAGCAUACUGAACAUCUCAGAGAGUGACGUGGGUCUGUACUACUGUGUUGAGCAGAGGGCUAACAUAUUUGAGAUCGGAAGUGGGACCAAGCUCUCCCUUAUCAGUGGUGAUCAGCUCUCUACUACUGUUGUUGGGAUGAAGUUGUCAUGGUUUAUCACCUUGAUCAUAGCCCCCAUGUUCUCUGUACUGGGGUCUGCUCUCUGUGUCUUCUGCUGUUGACGACCUCCUAAGAAAUGAUUUGCACCCAAUAAUUCUAAUUUUCACAUUGAAUCAGCUUUCUGAAAUGUCUUUUUUAAAUACUUAUGUGGUGCAACUCACGGUCUGUAAAUCGGUCAUUGGUGUUUAUUGCGCAUUUCAUGAAGAUAAAAAAAAAUAGCUGUCCUCUUACACUGUAGAUCCUGACAAAAUGAGGAUUCUGGAACAAUUUGGUUGAAGCCUGUCAUCUAGAGGACCAAGAGUGAGUAUAGGAGGACAAACAGGAAUAAAAUGUAAAGAUACUGAGAGUAAAAGUAACAUUUCUGGUGUUUUAUGAAGUCUCCUGUGACACACGGGGUUAAACUUCUGCCACUCCAUACAUCUAAGUAGGUGGACGAUGGGAUCUACAUGUGUCCAGAUUGGUUUCACAUCUUUGUAUUUAUUGUGUUAUUCCAGUGUUGAUUGCAUGACCAGUAUGUUCAGGGUGUUAGAGAUAGAAAUGUAUUGAACAAGAUCAUUGUAGACAUGUGAUCAUAAAUCAUUCACGUCAUAUCUACCAUUCCAUCCACGGACCAAUUAUCAAAACAGUAGUGGUUUAACCAUAAAUCUGCAACUAUAAAUAUAUUUUUAAAUCUGAAA
This is a long non-coding RNA of Oncorhynchus nerka (sockeye salmon), 2986 nucleotides long. RefSeq lists it as uncharacterized. The transcript has 3 exons. The record is from RefSeq and is a predicted model, not a curated record. Lineage: Eukaryota; Metazoa; Chordata; Actinopteri; Salmoniformes; Salmonidae.